UCGGCGCGCUGGCGGGCGGCGGCGCGACCUCGCAGGUCGUGAGCGGACUGCGGAUCGAAACCGCCGUGUCGGUCC
Molecule: transfer RNA, 75 nt
Filed under: Burkholderia pseudomultivorans
Lineage: Bacteria; Pseudomonadati; Pseudomonadota; Betaproteobacteria; Burkholderiales; Burkholderiaceae
Description: tRNA-Ala
Source: RNAcentral